CAAUCUGCGUAGUGCUUCUUGCCGUGCGUGUCGAUGCCAAGCAAUGAGUGGGGAGAGCACCAGGGAUAAUGAUUGUUUCUGUCCCCGGGUGGACGAAGGUGCCUGGUCGCAUCCAUUUGUGGGCUGAAACAAAUGGUGGCUGGUUGCAGCGCCCUGUGCCUGCUAGGCAGUUGGGGUGCAGCCCUGAUACGCAGACGAGGACAAAGUGCUUCUGUUCGACCCGUCUUGAAACACGGACCAAGGAGUCUGACACUCAUGCAAGCUCGCGGGUGGGUAAACUUGUUUGCGUAAUUAAAGUGUCUGUUGUGAUUUUUGUGCACCAACGCCCGACCAAUCAGUCGAGAGAGGUUUGAGUGUGAGCAUUUCUGUCAGGACCCGAAAGAUGGUGAACUAUGCUUGAGAAGGGUAAGUUCAGGGGAAACUCUGAUUGAGGCUCGUAGCGAUACUGACGUGCA
Molecule: ribosomal RNA, 455 nt
Filed under: Prorocentrum hoffmannianum
Lineage: Eukaryota; Dinophyceae; Prorocentrales; Prorocentraceae
Description: partial large subunit ribosomal RNA
Rfam family: Eukaryotic large subunit ribosomal RNA
Source: RNAcentral